UGGGGAAUCUUGCACAAUGGAGGAAACUCUGAUGCAGCGACGCCGCGUGAGCGAUGAAGCCCUUCGGGGUGUAAAGCUCUUUCGGCAGGGAAGAUAAUGACGGUACCUGCAGAAGCAGCUGCGGCUAACUACGUGCCAGCAGCCGCGGUAAUACGUAGGCAGCAAGCGUUGUUCGGAGUUACUGGGCGUAAAGGGUGCGUAGGCGGGCUUUUUAAGUUUGGUGUGAAAUCUCCCGGCUCAACCGGGAGGGUGCGCCGAAUACUGAGAGGCUAGAGUGCGGGAGAGGAAAGUGGAAUUCCUGGUGUAGCGGUGAAAUGCGUAGAUAUCAGGAGGAACACCGGUGGUGUAAACGGCUUUCUGGACCGUAACUGACGCUGAGGCACGAAAGCGUGGGUAGCAAACAGGAUUAGAUACCCUGGUAGUCCACGCCCUAAACGAUGCAUAUUUGGUGUGGGCCAUUCAUUUGGUCUGUGCCGGAGCUAACGCGUUAAAUAUGCCGCCUGGGGAGUAC
Molecule: ribosomal RNA, 511 nt
Filed under: uncultured bacterium
Lineage: Bacteria
Description: bacterial SSU rRNA
Rfam family: Bacterial small subunit ribosomal RNA
Source: RNAcentral